RNAcentral lists this ribosomal RNA (460 nucleotides) under uncultured bacterium. RNAcentral describes it as "partial 16S ribosomal RNA". It matches the Rfam family "Bacterial small subunit ribosomal RNA", at positions 338 to 795 of the family's 1533-position model. The record is from RNAcentral.
CCUACGGGAGGCAGCAGUGAGGAAUAUUGGUCAAUGGGCGGAAGCCUGAACCAGCCAAGUCGCGUGAGGGAAUAAGGCCCUACGGGUCGUAAACCUCUUUUGCCGGGGAGCAAGGGCCGGGACGCGUCCCGUCCCGGAUAGUCCCCGGAGACAAAGCAUCGGCUAACCCCGUGCCAGCAGCCGCGGUAAUACGGGGGAUGCGAGCGUUAUCCGGAUUUAUUGGGUUUAAAGGGUGCGUAGGCGGGCUUUUAAGUCAGCGGUAAAAAUUCGGGGCGCAACCCCGGCCGGCCGUUGAAACUGGGGGCCUUGAGUGGGCGAGAAGAAGGCGGAAUGCGUGGUGUAGCGGUGAAAUGCAUAGAUAUCACGCAGAACCCCGAUUGCGAAGGCAGCCUGCCGGCGCCCUACUGACGCUGAGGCACGAAAGUGCGGGGAUCGAACAGGAUUAGAUACCCCUGUAGUC